ACCGGCAGCUCAAGUGGUGGCCAUUUUUAUUGGGCCUAAAGCGUUCGUAGCCGGUUUGAUAAGUCUCUGGUGAAAUCCCGCAGCUUAACUGUGGGACUUGCUGGAGAUACUAUUAGACUUGAGGUCGGGAGAGGUUAGGGGUACUCCCAGGUGUAGCGGUGAAAUGCGUAGAGAUCUGGAGGAAUACCGGUGGCGAAGGCGGCCCCCUGGACGAAGACUGACGCUCAGGUGCGAAAGCGUGGGGAGCAAACAG
Molecule: ribosomal RNA, 253 nt
Filed under: uncultured prokaryote
Description: partial 16S rRNA
Rfam family: Bacterial small subunit ribosomal RNA
Source: RNAcentral